UCAAACUUGGUCAUUUAGAGGAAGUAAAAGUCGUAACAAGGUUUCCGUAGGUGAACCUGCGGAAGGAUCAUUAAAAAAUUGUCCACAAAAUGGAUAAUUAAUAUCCAUAUCCACCUUGUGUGAACCAUUGACUUGUCAGUUGGCAGGUGGAACCGCGCAUUACUUGGCGUGGAGGUUGUCGUUCCAUUGGGACUGACAUCAUCGAAGAGGUUUUCUUCAGCCUGCCAAUUUUUUAGUCUAUAUGCGUCUAAUAUUAAACACUUGACUAAAAUUUGAUUUAAUAAAUAACAAAUACAACUUUCAACAACGGAUCUCUUGGCUCUCGCAUCGAUGAAGAACGCAGC
Molecule: unclassified non-coding RNA, 344 nt
Filed under: uncultured fungus
Lineage: Eukaryota; Fungi
Description: partial contains small subunit ribosomal RNA, internal transcribed spacer 1, and 5.8S ribosomal RNA
Rfam family: Eukaryotic small subunit ribosomal RNA (bases 1-73)
Source: RNAcentral